Molecule: long non-coding RNA, 505 nt
Filed under: Hordeum vulgare
Lineage: Eukaryota; Viridiplantae; Streptophyta; Magnoliopsida; Poales; Poaceae
Description: long non-coding RNA (HVUL_LNC013185)
Source: RNAcentral
AAAAUCCACGGAAUCACUCGGAACUAGGCUCCUCCUCUCGUCCUGCUCAGGUGCGCCGGCCUCUUCCUCCCUCCCUUCCCUGCGUCGCCGGCCCUCUUCCUCCCUCCAUUCCCUGCGCCGCCGGCCCUCUUCCUCCCUCCAUUCCCUGCGCCGCCGGCCCUCUUCCUCCCUCCCUCCGUCUGCCGCGCCGCCGUCAACCCUCGAUGUGCUGCGCCGCCGUCAACCUUCCUCCCUGCUGCACCGCCGGCCGUCUACCUCCCUCCCUCGUUCUCAUCCUCUCUCGAUCUGAUCUGAUGCAACUCAUUUCUUUCUUGAUCUGCAGGAUAGAAGGAGAACAAGGCAGGGUACUCCGGCGUGGCGGCAUUGCGAAGCAGAGCUUCCUCUCCUGAAGGUACGAACCUUCUUCCUCACACAUAAAAGAACAGACUCACACAUAAAAGCAAGCGCGGCACCGCCCUAGUCUCCUCUCUAUUGCGGCCUCCGCCUGGAUCUGACUGGAUCCUCA